GACGAACGCUGGCGGCGUGCUUAACACAUGCAAGUCGAACGGAAAGGCCCCUUCGGGGGUCCUCGAGUGGCGGACGGGUGAGUAACACGUGCGUAACCUGCCCUUGACUUCGGGAUAACUUCAGGAAACUGGGGCUAAUACCGGAUAGGAAUCCUUGCUUCAUGGUGGGGGUUGGAAAGCUACGGGGGGUUUGGAUGGACUCGCGGCUUAUCAGCUUGUUGGUGGGGUGGUGGCUUACCAAGGCGUUGGCGGGUAGCGGGCCUGAGAGGGCGACCGGCCACAUUGGGACUGAGAGACGGCCCCGACUCCUACGGGGGGGAGAAGGGGGGAAUAUUGCACAAUGGGCGCAGGCCUGAUGCAGCAAAGCCGCGGGCGGGAUAACGCCCUUCUGGUUGUAAACCGCGUUCAGCAGUGGCGAAGCUCGUGGUGACGGUACCUGCAGAAGAAGCACCGGCUAACUACGUG
This 465-nucleotide ribosomal RNA is filed under the name uncultured bacterium. RNAcentral's name for it is "partial 16S ribosomal RNA". It matches the Rfam family "Bacterial small subunit ribosomal RNA", at positions 28 to 507 of the family's 1533-position model. The record is from RNAcentral.